GUGUUUGCUUGGGCAGUACAUAUGCUAAAACUGACACACUACAGAGAAGAUUAACAUGACUUCUGCAUAAGUGACUGAGCAUUAAGGAUUAAAAAGUAAUUUUC
Small nuclear RNA from Peromyscus maniculatus bairdii (prairie deer mouse), 104 nucleotides. Lineage: Eukaryota; Metazoa; Chordata; Mammalia; Rodentia; Cricetidae. The record is from Ensembl.